Molecule: antisense RNA, 69 nt
Filed under: Micromonospora matsumotoense
Lineage: Bacteria; Bacillati; Actinomycetota; Actinomycetes; Micromonosporales; Micromonosporaceae
Description: ASpks TB sRNA
Rfam family: ASpks TB sRNA
Source: RNAcentral
CUUCACCGACCCCAACCACAACGGCUGCGCCCGGUCCCGACCGUACGUCGCCAGGAUCGCCUGCGCCUC